AAGGGGAACUCAAUUAGCCUGAGUCAAUCAGUAAAUAAAUUCCCUGGUAGGGUAGAGACUUGUAAUGCUUACCCUGUCUUUCCAGGCAUAUACAGAGAUGACAUUCUCACACAUACAUCCCUGCCACCCACCCCCACCCUUGUAGAUGGCUGGACCAUGUGACUAGUUAGACACUAGCCUGUAGUGGGCUGUGGGUAGAAGUGAUACGUGUCACUUCAAGCUAAAGCAUUUAAUUGCAAGUAUAAGUCCUUACAGUGUUUAUUCUUCCCCAGCCUCAAGACCUGUAUUGUUGAAGAUGAUAAAGCCUUUGUCAGCCUAGGUCCCCAAGAAAGGACCGUGUAGCACAGCCCACCUCCCACCCUCAUCAAGUCAGGGUGGAUAUAUAGUUUGAGUAAAAAAUAUAACUUUGUUGUUUAAGCCACUGAGAUUUGGGGUUAUUUUUUUACUGCAGUAUGACCUAGAAUCUAAAUUAUGCUAGGUCCUAUACUAUUCUAAUUAAUACACCUGAAAACCAUUAUAGUCCUGGGGUAAAGUGGCCCAAUCAGACUGAAGGGAAGGAUUUUUAGUCCAUGCUUGGGGGGAGGACUCUCUCUUUCCUACCAGGUAUGAACAAGUCAGCCUAUAACCCAGAUUGCCAGUGGCAGCAAUCAAACAACCACAAGAGGAACUCACCUUAGAAUGAAGUCAACACACUGAGGAUGGCAGAGAGAAAAACCCUUGAAGCAUAGCAAGAAUUUGGCUGUGUUCUCACCCCUGGUUGGAUCCUACUUGUGAAGAGGGUGUCAAUAGCAACUCACUCACCAUGAGGGAACCAAGAGAUCUGCCCUGAGCUAACAUCUGCUGCCAAUCCUCCUCUUUUUGCUGAGGAAGACUGGCCCUGAGCUAACAUCCAUGCCCAUCUUCCUCUACUCUAUAUGUGGGACACCUACCACAGCAUGGCUUGCCAAGUGGUGCCAUGUCUGCACCCGGGAUCCAAACCAGCAAACCCUGGGCCACCGAAGCAGAACGUAUGCACUUAACCACUGCGCCACUGGGCUGGCGCCUAGAAGUCAUUCUUUUAAGAUAGCUUGCCAGAGGUGUAACUCUCUCCCUAAAACAUAAAAAGUAGUGUGCCCACUUGGUGGGCGUUAUUUUACUCUCUUUCAAACAUAUUUACACAUUACCUGUAGCCUUGGAAAGUAGCAAACUGGCUACAAGUUAACAUCUUGUGAAUCACACAGCCUCACUUUACCGUCCAGCUCGUGCACCCUGUGCUGCUUCUAGCUCCUCUGGAAGCCAGAAAGACCAGUCGGUUAGAUUAUAAAGGUUAAUUAAAUACCAUAAAAUGUAUACAGGA
This 1336-nucleotide long non-coding RNA is filed under the name Equus caballus (horse). Its description in RNAcentral is "lncRNA (ENSECAG00000047746.1)". The record is from RNAcentral. Lineage: Eukaryota; Metazoa; Chordata; Mammalia; Perissodactyla; Equidae.